Molecule: long non-coding RNA, 3598 nt
Organism: Dreissena polymorpha
Lineage: Eukaryota; Metazoa; Mollusca; Bivalvia; Myida; Dreissenidae
Exons: 6
Source: RefSeq, a predicted model, not a curated record
UAAAUCGCUACGUCCAAGGGGCAUAAUUAGGGUCGCCAUGACAAGAGAGAAUAAACUUUUUUUUAAUUUGUAUGAUAAUGGAUUGUCUAGCCGUUAAAAGGAUAAGUAUUUCUUUUCAUUUGCUCGAUUUUCAUAAAACCAAAUGUUCUAUCGUUUCUUUUAAAGUACGACAGUUUCAUUGCCAUUAUAGCUUGAAUUUUAAAGGUUGAAAUAGUAGUCGGACAUUACAUAUUUCGGACGUUGCUAAACAUGUUUGUUUUCGACACAGUUUAAUGAUUUUUGUUCAGAUAAAGUUUUAAAGUUGUUGUACUUGUAAUGAUUCACGGUAGUAUGUCUGGAAUAUCUUCUCUGAUGAUUAGAAGUCUUAAACUUAUCAUACAUGAGCAUUACCAAUGUUCUGUCAAAAUAAGAUAUAGGAAUUUACAAAAUACAUGAACACGAAUAUGUUCAGCUGAGCAACUUCAAUCCCACAAUGAUGUCUGGUUAGCACAGUGGUUGAUUCACAUUUUCACGUAGCCAAGGUGGUCUAUAUUGACCACACCACAAUUGAAUAUAUUUCAAUAAAAAAUAAUAAUCUGGAAUUGGUUGUCAGACAUGCACUUUAUUAUAAAACAACUAUGUCUCUGUGUGAUGUACUGUUAUAUGCUCAAUAAUCACAUACAAUUGAAAUACCCAUCAGUGUAAAAAUUAGUACCAAAUUUGCAAGGAUGUUAAGUUUAAAUAAUGCUUGCUUACUUUUCAUCAUUCCCGUUUGUCUGAUUUACUUAUAUUUGUUUUGUGUGAUUGUAUUAAAUGAUCAUAUUUGAAACAAACUCUUGUGCAUUAUUUUGGUAGGUGCUUGUGAGUCUAAGGUACUUGGCGAAAGGUGAUUUUCUGUCUGAGGUUGCUGACCUUCAUGGAAUUAGCAGGUCCAGUGCAUGCAAUAUUAUUGCAGCCUUUGUUGAUGCUGUUAAUUUAAGAAUUGAUAAUGUAAAGUUUCCAACUGGAAUUGCACUUGCUUCUGUCAAACAAGGAUUUUUUCAAAAAUGUGGCAUUCCAAAUACAAUUGGUGCAAUUGAUGGAGCACUCAUUCCAAUAAUUGCCCCAGCAGCAAAUGAAGCCAUUUAUGUGUGUCGUAAAGGCUUCCAUGCCAUAAAUGUCCAAGCAGUUGUGGACCACAAGGCCAGGUUCAUUGACAUUGUGUCGAAAUGGCCUGGGUCUACGCAUGAUGCCUCUGCCUUUGACAGCUGUGGGUUGAAGACCUUUCUGGAAGAACACCACCAAGGGCACUUGCUGGGCGACUCGGGCUAUCCCUUGAAAAAAUAUCUGUUGACGCCAUUACUUAGACCUACAACAGAUGCAGAGUUACGAUACAACUAUGCCCAGUCAAGUGGGCGGAUGGUGGUGGAGAGGGCUUUUGGAGUUCUCAAGAGUAGAUUUAGAUGUCUACAUAAAACUGGAGGAUGCUUAUACAUGCGGCCAGACAAAUGCUGCCAAGUAGUUGCAGCAUGUAUGCGUCUUCACAACUUGUGUGUCGAUCUGCAAGUGCCACUGCCUGAAGAACCUAUUGAGGAGGCUGAUGAUGUUGAUCACACUGCCCCACAAGUUCAAAAUGACCGUCAUGCAUCAGCAUACAGACAGCAAAUUAUUCACUUAUUUAUGUAGCUGCUGUUCAAAGUUCACAUGCUUAUUUGGUCUUUGUCGGCUCAGGUUCUACUAAAAAGUACCCCUGGUACUCAUGUGUAUACUAAUAUGUAGCCCAGAUAUGGAAAAUACGCUUAAAGGCACCCCACCAUAUUCAGGGGUACUUUUUAGUUUGUUUUCUGUACCUGGGGUAUUUUGUAGUAUACUUAAGAGUACCCAGGGUACUUUAAAGUAGUACCUGAGCCGACAAUCACCAAUCAACCUCACAUGUACAUUAAGUACUCUAUGUAAGCCAUUGUGAUCUAUCCAUGUGGGGCUUCAUGCAUAUAACUAUUUGUUGAUGAAAGUCAGGUCAUAUUUCUGUGAACAAUAUUUAAGCUAUGUUCAAAUUUGGUGAAAAGCUUUGCAAGAAUGUUAUUAUUGAAAAUUUCUAUGUCUGUUUUUGUAGUUUUUUAUAAGACACAAUUUUUAUGUCCCCCACCACUAUAGUGGGGGCAUAUUAGUUUUGCCCUGUCUGUUGGUAUGUGUGUUUGUUUGCGUCAAACUUUAACAUUUGCCAUAACUUUUGCAAUAUUGAAGAUAGCAACUUCAUAUUUUGCAUGCAUGUGUAUCUCAUGGAGCUGCACAUUUUGAGUGGUGAUAGGUCAAGGUCAUCCUUCAAGGUCAAAUGUCAAAUAUAUGGGGACAUAGUGUUUCCAAAUGCUUGUGAUGUUUUCAUGUUUCCUUCAUAUUAUCACAAAGUGGAAAUAAAGUCUAUUCCUUUAAUACUUAGCUAAUAAACAUAACAGUACAUUUUUCUUCGCCUCCAAGGACAAAGGAAGUGGAACACUAUCUGAAAAUAAAAUACAUGUCAUGUUUCAAAUUAUUUGUAAUGCAAAGUGAUGCUAAAAUGGUAACAUUGUAACAUUAAUGUAACAUUAAGAGAUGUGCAUAAACUAAUGAUUUUUUUAAAACUGGUUUAGCAUACAUUUGUGUAAAUGAUGUAUAUAAAGACAGACAUGUCAAUAUGCUUCAACCCAUGAGCCCUUCCAAAGUAAAAUGUAUUAUGGGGUCAUUAUAUUAAUGUUUUUAUUUAAAUCAAAGAUAGUUUAGAUACUAAUAUAAUAAUUUGACUUACUGUUCUAAAAAAUUCUCCAAUACAUUUUGGGCAAGGUUUUUUUUGCUUUCAAUGAAGUACUGCUCCGCAGCCUUUUGUGUCUGAAUUUGUUGUUCCAUCAAUUUUCUUUUAAACCGGGUUGUUUCUGUUUGUACAAUGAAGAACGUGUAUUGUGCUAGCUGCACAUCAGACAAUGUUCUGUAGCAACAAAUUAUUUUAUAUUGAACAUUUGUGAAAAUGAAUUGUGAAAUUUAGGUUUAAAUGUAUGCACAAUUUUUUUUGGAUAUAGUAUUAAAAUGUAUUAUCAUACAACUUAAUAAGUUACAAAGGCUGAAGUUUCAUAAUCCUAGGCCGAAGCGUUCUUGAGUUAUCAUCUAGAAACCAUAUGGUGAGCAGACCGACCGACAGACAGAAAUGAGCAAAACAAUAUACCCCCUCUUCUUCGAAGGGGGGCAUAAAUAUUUAAUUUGUAUGGAACUUACAUCUUUCUUCUCUUACAAGGCUGUUCAGAUUUGGCCUCACACGGGCUGUUUGGCGCAUCUUCCUAUAAUGUUUAUAUAUGAAUGAUUAUGACUUUUUAUAUAACAUAAGUAAUCCAAUAUGUUAGUUUAGGUCAUAAAUAUGCGUAAACUUAUUUAUAAUUUUACAAGUAAGAAACCAAUGACUUUUAUGUCAUAUAUGCAAACAUGUACAUUCAAUGACAAAGAUAUUUUGAUGGAGCCUAUUUAUUACAAUCGUAACUGCAAUUAAGUAACUUAAACUUUAACGAACUUUAUGCCGCAUAAUUAAUUUGUUAUUAUGACACACAUUGUUAGACCUUUUAUAUUUUAUUUGCUUAGUAACAUUGACACUCCUACAAUAAUAAAUGUGCCAUAAGUA